RNAcentral lists this ribosomal RNA (279 nucleotides) under uncultured bacterium. RNAcentral's name for it is "partial 16S ribosomal RNA". It matches the Rfam family "Bacterial small subunit ribosomal RNA", at positions 506 to 784 of the family's 1533-position model. The record is from RNAcentral.
UGCCAGCCGCCGCGGUAAUACGAGGGGGGCAAGCGUUAUUCGGAAUUACUGGGCGUAAAGGGCGCGCAGGCGGCCUGUUAAGUGAGAAGUGAAAGCCCCGGGCUCAACCCGGGAAAUGCUUCUCAUACUGGCAGGCUAGAGGAUGGGAGAGGAAAAUGGAAUUCCCGGUGUAGCGGUGAAAUGCGUAGAGAUCGGGAGGAACACCAGUGGCGAAGGCGGUUUUCUGGACCAUUACUGACGCUGAGGCGCGAAAGCGUGGGGAGCAAACAGGAUUAGAUA